RNAcentral lists this ribosomal RNA (351 nucleotides) under uncultured Oscillospira sp. RNAcentral describes it as "partial 16S ribosomal RNA". The record is from RNAcentral. Lineage: Bacteria; Bacillati; Bacillota; Clostridia; Eubacteriales; Oscillospiraceae.
GGAGUCUGGGCCGUAUCUCAGUCCCAAUGUGGCCGUUCAACCUCUCAGUCCGGCUACUGAUCGUCGCCUUGGUGAGCCGUUACCCCACCAACUAGCUAAUCAGACGCGAGGCCAUCUCAGAGCGAUAAAUCUUUGGCAUCAGGGGGAUGUCCACUCGAUGCAUCAUGCGGUAUUAGCAGCCGUUUCCAGCUGUUGUCCCCCCUCUCCAAGGCAGGUUCCUCACGCGUUACUCACCCGUCCGCCACUUUCCUCACCUUCCGUUGUCCGAAAACUCCUUCCGGUGAUUCUCGUUCGACUUGCAUGUGUUAAGCACGCCGCCAGCGUUCGUCCUGAGCCACUGAUCAAACUACU